This 1673-nucleotide ribosomal RNA is filed under the name Acentrogobius pflaumii (striped sandgoby). RNAcentral's name for it is "16S ribosomal RNA". The stretch from base 95 to 1591 matches the Rfam family "Bacterial large subunit ribosomal RNA". Lineage: Eukaryota; Metazoa; Chordata; Actinopteri; Gobiiformes; Gobiidae. The record is from RNAcentral.
ACCCCAACAGCUAGCUCACCCAAAUAAUUCCAACAAACAACAUUAAUAACCCCGAAAAUAAUUUUCCCAAUGCAACAAACCAUUUUACCAUCCUAGUAUGGGAGACAGAAAAGAAAAAUUUGAAGCUAUAGAAAAAGUACCGCAAGGGAAAGCUGAAAGAGAGCUGAAAAAGCCCAGUAAAGGCGACCAUAGCAGAGACUACCCCUCGUACCUUUUGCAUCAUGAUUUAGCAAGCAUCCCUCGAGCAAAGAGCCCUUUAUGUUCGAAACCCCGAAACUAAGCGAGCUACUCCAAGACAGCCUAUUGCAGGGCAAACCCGUCUCUGUCGCAAAAGAGUGGGAAGAGCUUCGAGUAGAGGUGACAGACCUACCGAGCCUAGUAAUAGCUGGUUACCUGAAAACUGAAUAGAAGUUCAGCCUUUUAUAUUCUUAACCCCACCAUGGUUAAACCGUUCACUGACUAAAAGAAUGUAAAGGAGUUAUUCAAGAGAGGGACAGCUCUCUUGAACAAAGAUACAACUUUUUAAGAAGGCCUAAGAUCAUAGCACCCAAGGCAAUGCACCUAAGUUGGCUUAAAAGCAGCCACCCUUAAAGAAAGCGUUAAAGCUCAAGUGUGAGCCCCCAACAAUACCGAUCAAGUAGUCUUAAGCCCCUAUUUAUAUCAGGUCUAUUCAUUCAUAAAUGAAUAAGAUUAUGCUAAAAUGAGUAAUAAGAGGGCCCAGGCCCUCUCAAGUACACCCGUGUAAAUCAGAGCGAACCCCCACUGAAAAUUAACGCCCCCAACCCCAGAGUGUAGUGAACAAAACAUAAAAACGAGAAAAACCCCCAACACAGUUAGCGUUGACCCCACACAGGAGUGUUUCAUGAAAGACUAAAAGGAAAAGAAGGAACUCGGCAAACACCAGCCUCGCCUGUUUACCAAAAACAUCGCCUCUUGCCCCAUCGUAUAAGAGGUCCUGCCUGCCCUGUGACGAAAGUUUAACGGCCGCGGUAUUUUGACCGUGCGAAGGUAGCGUAAUCACUUGUCUUUUAAAUAGAGACCUGUAUGAAUGGCAUAACGAGGGCUGAGCUGUCUCCUUUUUCCGGUCAACGAAAUUGAUCUGCCCGUGCAGAAGCGGGCAUAACCACAUAAGACGAGAAGACCCUAUGGAGCUUUAGACAUUCAGACACAUCACGUUAAAGACCCCAUCUCCAGGAUUAAACCAGAUGAAAACUGUCUCACUGUCUUUGGUUGGGGCGACCACGGAGAAACAAAAAACCCCCGUGCGGAAGAGGGUCACCCCUCGAAACUAGAGCCACAGCUCUAAUUAGCAGAAUAUCUGACCAUUAGAUCCGGUAUUACCGAUCAACGGACCCAGUUACCCUAGGGAUAACAGCGCAAUCCCCUUUUAGAGCUCAUAUCGACAAGGGGGUUUACGACCUCGAUGUUGGAUCAGGACUUCCUAAUGGUGCAGCCGCUAUUAAGGGUUCGUUUGUUCAACGAUUAAAGUCCUACGUGAUCUGAGUUCAGACCGGAGAAAUCCAGGUCAGUUUCUAUCUAUGGAUAGCUUCUUCCUAGUACGAAAGGACCGGAAGAAGAGGGCCCAUGCUGUGAGUAAGCCCUCCCCCCACCUAGUGCCACCCACUAAAGAAGGUAAAGGGGCUUACCCCGACCGCCCGAGAAAAAAAAGGCAA